CCUACGUGUGGCAGCAGUAGGGAAUUUUCCUCAAUGGGCGCAAGCCUGAUCGAGCGAUGCCGCGUGAGUGAAGAAGUACUUCGGGUCGUAAAGCUCUGUUGCGGGGGAAAAAAGGCAGCAUCAGGAAAUGUGUGCUGACUGAUGGUACCCCGCCAGAAAGUCACGGCUAACUACGUGCCAGCAGCCGCGGUAAUACGUAGGUGGCGAGCGGUAUCCGGAAUGAUUGGGCGUAAAGGGUGCGCAGGCGGUCCUGCAAGUCUGGCGGGAAAGCCAUGGGCUCAACUCAUGCAGAGCUUUGGAAACGGGAGGACUGGAGAGCAGGAGAGGGAGGUGGAACUCCAGGUGUAGCGGUAAAAUGCGUAGAUAGAUGGAAGAACACCAGUGGCGAAGGCGGCCGCCUGGCCUGUUGCUGACGCUGAGGCACGAAAGCGUGGGGAGCAAAUAGGAUUAGAUACCCGUGUAGGC
This 465-nucleotide ribosomal RNA is filed under the name uncultured bacterium. RNAcentral's name for it is "partial 16S ribosomal RNA". It matches the Rfam family "Bacterial small subunit ribosomal RNA", at positions 338 to 795 of the family's 1533-position model. The record is from RNAcentral.